Molecule: long non-coding RNA, 3087 nt
Organism: Hyaena hyaena (striped hyena)
Lineage: Eukaryota; Metazoa; Chordata; Mammalia; Carnivora; Hyaenidae
Exons: 5
Source: RefSeq, a predicted model, not a curated record
GGGGAGGCCACGGGCGUCUGCGGGCCCGGCCCCCACCUCACCCUCUGCAGCUUCCCAGUCAGGCUGGCCGAGUCGUACCCUUGACGAUAAGCUGGACACUCAGGUGUCCUCCUGAGCCCUAUGUCCGGAACCAGGGCAGAGCGCGACCCGGCGUGGCCACUUCAGGAAAGACGGCAGAUCAGGCCCAGACCCUGAGGCUCGGUGCUCACCCACCGCCCGGGUGCACGGACGCGCAGCAGCUGAAAGCUGGCCCCUCCCUGGGCACACUGGAGAAGCUGCAGCGCCUUUGCUCACCAGACAGCGCGCCGACGUCACUGCGAUUAGCACAGACACCUGGGAAGCACACGCUCAGCACGCACACAGAAACCUGCUCCCGGGUCCCCGAGGGGCCUCAGCGUGCCCUCCUGUCCUCGCCACAGGUGGGGAGGAGGUUCUCUGCCUGAUGUCCCUGACUCCCCAACGCGACCACGUCCUGCAGCGCCCGGGUCACGUGCUCACACCACCCGCAAGCCGCCUCUUCCCCCAAAGCCAGCCUCGCGGGGCCCUGGACCCGGCGCCCACCUCCCAGGGCCGUGGAUGGGGGGUGGGCUGCCCCUCAGCCACUCCCUGCCCCUUCUGCCAGUGACAACACCAUCAUCUCCCCACGCUCAAACAUCUGGGCACCGGGGCACCUUCUAGCUCAACACCAAUGGCCUUGACCGUCCUCCUCCGGGGCCACAUCACAGGCCAUCUGUCAGAAUCGCCUCCAGGGACUGGAGCCCAAGUACCUCUGUGCCACACUCCACGCCCACACCCGGGCCUCCUCCCGCCCAGAUGCCAGCCCAGCCCCUCGACAUUCCGCGUCCAAUCUAAGAGGCCAAAACUAGAAACGCCGGUAUCGUGCCCCGAGGAACACAGGGACCUGCGAGACGCGCCGUGGCCUCAGCGAUGCCCGGAAGUAAGAGGUUUUGUCCUGGAGCUGCGGGAACACAGGAGGGGUCAGCUCCCGGCUCAUCUCCGAGGAAACCACCCUCCCCUCCCCUCCCAGGCCAACAUCUGCAAACCUCCGAGGGAGAGACGGAGAGACGGCUGGAUGGAGGCCGAAUGCACCCAGGAGCCACAUUUUUGUAAAUUUCGUGUCUGAGGAUCAAAUCAUAAGGAAGAAAGGUCUUGGGGAAAGGAUCUAAAGCCCCCGGGACAGGAGCUCGGAGAGGGUGUGGCAAGGGCGGGCUAAGUCCCAGGCAGAGCCGAGGUCUACACAGGGACUUAAGGGAGUCCAGGGCUGAAGCGUGAGUGUCCCCAAAACCCAGGUGGCAGUGACUGGGCCUAGGGGAGUGGCUCUCUGCAUAGACCUGCCCCAAGGAGCCGAUCUGAAAGCAGGGAUAGAAGCGGUGGGGGAAGGGGCUCCUGAUGCGCAGGGACCCCCACAGCAGACCUCCUGCCUGCAAGCUCUGGCCACACCCUCCGUAAACCCUGCCCCUCCUCAUCGCCUCAGGCACCCCCCACCGCUGACCGGGCGGGUGCCUGGUGCUGCUGCAGGGAGGAGGGGGCAGCUGCUGAGCGGCUGACCGGGGCUGUGAGCGCCACGCAGCAACAGAAAGGAGCUGGCACAGAGGGGCGUGCCACUUCCCAGGCGCCAGCCCCAGAGGACCACAAGCGGAGCCUAUGGCACGCACCAAACACCAAAUUAUGGAGAGAACAGUGAGCGCGCUACGAUGCAAUGCCCGUGUUGUGGAGACUGUGGCUGGAAUGUUUCUCUGAGGAUGCUGGGCCGCCAGGAUUUGGGCCGGGGAAGGCGGGCUCUGGCUGCCAGAAGUUACCGGUGGAGCAGGAGAAGGUCUUCGGUACACAACUCUACUCUUGUGGAUGUUUGGAAUUUUUCAUAACAAUUUUCUUAAAAAGACAAACAAGAAACUCAUUUCCACUUUCUGUCUCUGGCGUCCCCUCUGGGCUGGAGCCCCUGUCUCUCCAGAGCCAGCCCUUGGGGGCGAGGGCUCUGUGGUCACAAGAAAUGAGAAUCAGAGGUCAGUGGCGCGGGGGGCUGGGGCCUCCGGAACAAGUCAGGUGCAAACGAGGCCACGGAGGUCCCAGCCCCCCAUCCACCCUGGAGGGACUUGUCCCACGACUACUGAACACCUGAAAGAAAGGCUCCCGAAGUCACCUGAUCACAGCUCCUGGAGCAGCACCCAGACAGGCCUGGGGGGGGGGGGUGGUUGUCAUCUCCUCUUUGAAGCUCUCAGCCACGUGACUGCCUCACCCCAAAUCCAUUUUGCCUGCACAUUUACGAAGACCUCACGUGACACCAGACCAGCUUGCUGCCCUCACUUCACUCUCACCAGCCGGAGGGAAACCAGCCUGUUGUGAGCAGUGAGCCGCCCACACGCUCACGACCACCUCCCCUACACGUCAGAUACCCCGUGUCCCCAGCCACCUUUGGGCUUGAAAGGCCAGCACAGGACAAGUAGACGCGACGCAGGAUCCAGCGGGAGGGCCAGCGUGGCCGUGACACCAGUGCAUGGGCCUUUGAAGCCCUUGGACAGGAGGCCCCGGUGCAGAGGGCGCUGGCUCUGUGACAAGGAAUGACGGCCCAGAACCAUGUGCCCGAGAGUCCGCUGGGACAGCACCACCACGUCGGGAAGCCCAUGGGGCCGCAGGGCACGUGCCCCGUGUCCAGGGCCGCCAUCCUCUGCGAGGCUAGAGAACCCAAGAGUCUGGCCCCAUCUCUGACGAUCAGCUGUGGUAGUGCAAGCCCCAGCUUCUCCACCCUUCUGCCCGAGUCUGGGCAGCCGACGAGACAGCCCAGGAAGCACCGGUGCAGCGGGCGCACACCGCGCCGUCCACGUCCACGGGCCCCAUCAUUUACUGCGCUGUGCCAGCCCUCACCUGUAACCGGAAGGUUCCCGAGAACAGGAAUUACACUCACACCUCCAUUUUCACCAUGGGCCUAAGUAGCAUUCAGACCACGGCAGCGGACUCUCCACUAUUUAUACCUCGCUGUGUCCUAAAAGUGACCCAAGAAAGCCAACCAUAGCUCUAUCCACUGAGAAAGGCUUAUAAUUGCUACAAUAUUAAAAAUUUAUUUAUCAAAUUGACGUGACUCGAAAUCAA